GCCCGCUUGGCUUAGUGGUACAGCGGUUUGUCAUCACUCAUGACAAGAUCCUCGGUUCGAUUCCGAGAGUGGGCA
RNAcentral lists this transfer RNA (75 nucleotides) under Baudoinia panamericana UAMH 10762. RNAcentral describes it as "tRNA-Ser (ACT) (tRNA-Ser-ACT-1-1)". It matches the Rfam family "tRNA". From Rfam's summary of the family: Transfer RNA (tRNA) molecules are approximately 80 nucleotides in length. Their secondary structure includes four short double-helical elements and three loops (D, anti-codon, and T loops). Lineage: Eukaryota; Fungi; Ascomycota; Dothideomycetes; Mycosphaerellales; Teratosphaeriaceae. The record is from RNAcentral.